This 650-nucleotide ribosomal RNA is filed under the name uncultured Halococcus sp. RNAcentral describes it as "bacterial SSU rRNA". It matches the Rfam family "Archaeal small subunit ribosomal RNA", at positions 151 to 800 of the family's 1478-position model. Lineage: Archaea; Methanobacteriati; Methanobacteriota; Halobacteria; Halobacteriales; Halococcaceae. The record is from RNAcentral.
CCUGGAUAGCGCUUUCGUCCUGGAGCGGAGAAAGCGCCAAACGCUCCGGCGCCGCAGGAUGCGACUGCGGCCGAUUAGGUAGACGGUGGGGUAACGGCCCACCGUGCCGAUAAUCGGUACGGGUAGUGAGAGCUAGAGCCCGGAGACGGACUCUGAGACAAGAGUCCGGGCCCUACGGGGCGCAGCAGGCGCGAAACCUUUACACUGCGCGACAGCGCGAUAGGGGGACCCCAAGUGCGAGGGCAUACAGUCCUCGCUUUUUCCGACCGUAAGGUGGUCGGCGAAUAAGGGCUGGGCAAGACCGGUGCCAGCCGCCGCGGUAAUACCGGCAGCCCGAGUGAUGGCCGCUAUUAUUGGGCCUAAAGCGUCCGUAGCCGGCUAGACAGGUCCGUCGGGAAAUCCACCCGCUCAACGGGUGGGCGUCCGGCGGAAACCAGCUAGCUUGGGACCGAGCGACCUGAGGGGUACGUCUGGGGUAGGAGUGAAAUCCCGUAAUCCCGGACGGACCAUCGGUGGCGAAAGCGCCUCAGGAGAGCGGAUCCGACGGUGAGGGACGAAAGCUAGGGUCUCGAACCGGAUUAGAUACCCGGGUAGUCCUAGCCGUAAACGAUGCUCGCUAGGUGUGGCGCUGGCUACGAGCCAGCGCUGUG